This 657-nucleotide long non-coding RNA is filed under the name Equus caballus (horse). Its description in RNAcentral is "lncRNA (ENSECAG00000056799.1)". The record is from RNAcentral. Lineage: Eukaryota; Metazoa; Chordata; Mammalia; Perissodactyla; Equidae.
GUUUGGAGAAAGGGUCUUUGCAGAUGUGAUUAAGUGAAGGAUCUUGAGAUGAGACCAUCCUGAAUGAUCUGGGUUAGCCCUGAAUCCAAUGGCAGGUGUCCUUAUAAGAGACACACAAGAGAGAGGAGAAGACGGUCACGUGAAGAUGAAGACAGAGAUUGGAGUGAUGCACCCACAAGCCCGGGAAUGCUGGCAGCGCCAGAAGCUGGAAGAGGCAUCAACCAGAAUCUCUCCUGGAGCCUCUGGAGGGAACGCAGCUCUGACAACAGCUUGAUUUUGGACUUCUGGCCUCCAGAGCUGAAAGAUUUCCUCCCAGAUAAAAACAGGCACACCAAGAGAUGCUCACUCAUACUUUGUGCUUUUGGACACUGUGAUGUAAAUACACAGUGCAUCGAGUGCUGGCAGCCAUCUUGUGACCAUGAGGCAAAACCCCAGAAAAUCUCAGUGAGCAGACAUACAGCCCUGAUGUCAACAAGCUGCUGAAUUCACCAACUCUGCAAAUACCAACCUCCAAAUCUUUUGAUGUGUGAGAUAAUAAACCCCUAUUGUCUAAGCUACUCUUGCAGCUGAAAUCCUCCUUAAAUGUUAUUCAAGGACUUUACAUAUUGUGUAAUUGUUCUUGCUAGCAAUGCACUAUUUUUAGGCUUAACAGGCAAC